UCACUGCUUGCGCAGGCAGUCUCUUUAGAGUCCCCACCAUAAUGUGCUGGCAACUAAAGAUAGGGGUUGCGCUCGUUGCGGGACUUAACCCAACACCUCACGGCACGAGCUGACGACGGCCAUGCAGCACCUUGCUUUGUGUCCCGAAGGAAAGGUCCAUCUCUGGACCGGUCACGCGCAUUCUAGCCCAGGUAAGGUUCUUCGCGUUGCGUCCAAUUAAUCCACAUAAUCCACCGCUUGUGCGGCUCCCCGUCAAUUCCUUUAUGUUUUAGUCUUGCGACCGUACUCCACAGGCGGGAUACUUAACGCGUUAGCUUCGCUACUGAAGGGGUCGAUACCUCCAACAGCUAGUAUCCAUCGUUUACGGCGUGGACUAC
Molecule: unclassified non-coding RNA, 377 nt
Filed under: uncultured bacterium
Lineage: Bacteria
Description: contains 16S-23S intergenic spacer region
Source: RNAcentral